AGUACCUGAUAAAUUUGUUCAUCCCAUGGGAUAGUUACCUCCAUAUACGUGGUAUGUAUAAUAUAUACAUCCACAUCUCUAUAGUGUGUGCACAAUACAUAUAACAUGUAUGUGUAUGAUUAUAAAAAAGAAGAAAUAGAGCUGAGCAGGCCUGCAGCAAAUGCUGUUUUUGUCUUCUUCUUUCUUGGAAAGGCUGCUCAGAAGAAAUUAAUAAUUAAUCUCACACCAACAGCUGGUGAUUGCAGAUUGUCUCCCCAUGCACAGUGCUUGGUCUCCAGCUUUUGUUUUAGAAUUCUGUUGUCACUUCAGCUGGAGUAGCCCUCAGGCCUUACAUUGCAAAGCAACCUCUGUAUCUCCUAGAUUAUCUUCUUGUCACUGCCCAAGGCCUGUUGAUUAUCACUUCAUCAAGCAAAAUGAGCACCCAAAUGUGUGAUGAGCUCAUACAGUAUAAGUAAGAAGUGAUGGGGACAGAUGCUCAGUUGGCGUGGGAUACUGUAGUUCCAUUGACUUCAGCUGGUGAUCUGUCCCAUCGUAACCCUGACUGAGGAUGCUUUACAUUCUAAUUUCAGGCAUGAUGCAACAAAGGGAUGGGAUCAGGCAGAUGAGCAAAAGAUCAGGAUCACUUCAGGUCUAGGCACCCUUGAAUAGUCCACAGGCCAGAGUAAAACAAACUGGAGCUUGACAAGCACACAGGAACUUGGCAGCCUGCAAUACAUACAACAUGGAGCAACUAAUUGCACCAACAGCCAUCUGGAAGACAGGCAUAACUUUGCCGAUUUUGGAGAGGCAGAUUGCAGUGCACCAUGGUGAGAAAUGAAAAGAAAGCAGAAGAAAAAGGUAAAAACAGAACAAAUAUAAGAUGGCAUCAGCAAUAUUUCAGGCCUUGCUGGUUUCUCCUUUGCCCCUGAAUGCAGAGGAGAUCAAGGACACUGUGGAGCUUAUGCCUUCUUCAGGGAAUG
Dermochelys coriacea (leatherback sea turtle) is the source of this 959-nucleotide long non-coding RNA. RefSeq lists it as uncharacterized. Lineage: Eukaryota; Metazoa; Chordata; Testudines; Dermochelyidae. The record is from RefSeq and is a predicted model, not a curated record. The transcript is spliced from 3 exons.